UACGUAGGUGACAAGCGUUGUCCGGAUUUAUUGGGCGCAAAGCGAGCGCAGGCGGUCUUUUAAGUCUGAUGUGAAAGCCCCCGGCUCAACCGGGGAGGGUCAUUGGAAACUGGCAGACUUGAGUGCAGAAGAGGAAGGUAGAAUUCCCGGUGUAGCGGUGAAAUGCGUAGAUAUAUGGAGGAACACCAGUGGCGAAGGCGACUUUCUGGUCUGUAAUUGACGCUGAGGCUCGAAAGCGUGGGGAGCGAACAGG
RNAcentral lists this unclassified non-coding RNA (253 nucleotides) under uncultured Carnobacteriaceae bacterium. Its description in RNAcentral is "contains 16S-23S intergenic spacer region". It matches the Rfam family "Bacterial small subunit ribosomal RNA", at positions 524 to 776 of the family's 1533-position model. The record is from RNAcentral. Lineage: Bacteria; Bacillati; Bacillota; Bacilli; Lactobacillales; Carnobacteriaceae.